This 464-nucleotide ribosomal RNA is filed under the name uncultured bacterium. Its description in RNAcentral is "partial 16S ribosomal RNA". It matches the Rfam family "Bacterial small subunit ribosomal RNA", at positions 28 to 507 of the family's 1533-position model. The record is from RNAcentral.
GACGAACGCUGGCGGCGUGCUUAACACAUGCAAGUCGAACGGAAAGGCCCUGCUUGCAGGGUACUCGAGUGGCGAACGGGUGAGUAACACGUGGGUGAUCUGCCCUGCACUUCGGGAUAAGCCUGGGAAACUGGGUCUAAUACCGGAUAGGAGCCAUUUUUAGUGUGAUGGUUGGAAAGUUUUUUCGGUGUAGGAUGAGCUCGCGGCCUAUCAGCUUGUUGGUGGGGUAAUGGCCUACCAAGGCGGCGACGGGUAGCCGGCCUGAGAGGGUGGACGGCCACAUUGGGACUGAGAUACGGCCCAGACUCCUACGGGAGGCAGCAGUGGGGAAUAUUGCACAAUGGGCGCAAGCCUGAUGCAGCGACGCCGCGUGGGGGAUGACGGCCUUCGGGUUGUAAACUCCUUUCGCCAGGGACGAAGCUUUUGUGACGGUACCUAGAGAAGAAGCACCGGCUAACUACGUG